CCUACGGGUGGCUGCAGUGGGGGAUAUUGCACAAUGGAGGCAACUCUGAAGCAGCGAUGCCGCGUGGGCGAAGACGUCUCUCUGUAUGGAAAGCUGUAUCAGUAGGGGAGAAGACAUGACGGUACCUGAGUGUGUAGCACCGGCUAAAUAAGUGCCAGCAGCCGCGGUAAUACGAAGGGUGCAAGCGUUAUCCGGAUUUACUGGGUGUAAAGGGAGCGCAGGGGGUACGGCAAGUCUGAGGUGAAAGCCCGCGGCUCAACCGCGGAACUGCAUUGGGUACUGCCCGGCUAGAGAGCAGGAGAGGUAGGCGGAAUGUAUAGUGUAGCGGUGAAAUGCGUAGAGAUCA
RNAcentral lists this ribosomal RNA (346 nucleotides) under uncultured bacterium. Its description in RNAcentral is "partial 16S ribosomal RNA". It matches the Rfam family "Bacterial small subunit ribosomal RNA", at positions 338 to 699 of the family's 1533-position model. The record is from RNAcentral.